AAAGGUUGUCACUUAAAUAAAUGGAUCGUUGUGACUUUUUCUUUUCUUACGUAACCUAUCCGUCUUCCUUCCACGGAUCAACGAGAGCCAGGGUGGGGAAGGUAACCUCAUACUAGAGCUGUGUUAGAACAGUACAUUAGUAGCAAUAAUAAUAAUAAUAAUAAUAAUAAUAAUAAUAAUAAUAAUAAUAAUAAUAAUAGCAGUAGCAGCAGUAAUGAUGAUAAUGUUGAUAAUGAUAAAGAUAACGAAACUCAUUUCAUGAUAGCGAUAUGGGCAACGCAGAGAGCGAUGCGACGUUAAGUGAUAGCGAGGUUGCGAUGCUGCGAUAGGCGAUAUCAAUUCUGCGAUAGACGAUAAGCGAUAGUGAUGCUGCGAUAGGCAACAACAUGGUGCGAUAGGCGAUCCUGCGAUGCUGCUGUAGGUGAAAGGCCAUAGCGAUGCUGCUAUAGGCAAUAGCAAUGCUGAGAUGCUGCGAUAGGCGAUGCGGCGAUGCUCGAAGCUGCGAUGCUGAGAUAGCGAUGCGGCUCUAAACCACCAUAGUAAUGCGGUGAGAAGCGAUACCAAUGCGAUGGUCAGCGACAGCAGUGUUGCGAUGCUGCGAUCAGCGAGCGAUAGCGAUGCGAUGAUUAGCGUAAGCGAUGAGGCGAUAAGCGAUAGCGAUGCGACGAUAGCGAUGCGACGAUUAGCGAUGCGAAGGUAUGUGACAGCGAUGCGAUGAUGAGCGAUACGGCGAUAAGCGAUAGCGAUGCGGCGAUAGGCGAUAGCGAUGCGGCGAUAAGCGAUAGCGAUGCGGCGAUAGGCGAUAGGGAUGCGGCGAUAGGCGAUAGCGAUGCGGCGAUAAGCGAUAGCGAUGCGGCGAUAGGCGAUAGCGAUGCGGCGAUAGGCGAUAGCGAUGCGGCGAUAAGCGAUAGCGAUGCGGCGAUAGGCGAUAGCGAUGCGGCGAUAAGCGAUAGCGAUGCGGCGAUAGCGCAUAAGAAUCUUAUCCUAGGUUGGGAUGAGCGUUUUUUCCUCUAGUGGUCCAGUCCAGGGUGCGGGCCGCGACGGGGCAACCUUCCACACUCCCACACGGACUCGCCAUGAACAAAGACCCGCCACACACCACUCUCCAACCACUGUCACGAAGUGCGCCCUCCCAACCCCUUAGAGGACGCCUCCUGCUGCCAGUGUCUGGUGCAUGGCGCACAGCGUGCCCUCACUCAUGGCAAGCUGUUCAGCCCGGUGUCACCAUAAUCAAGGAACCCGUACACACCAUUCACCAGACAAUAGAAGGAGCCCUUAUCUCCCCUUAAGGACCCCCUCUUGUGGCCCUAUCUAGUGAAUGGUAGUCCGUGUUUCCCUGCUUAUGACAACAUCUUGCCUAGUGCAAGGUAUGAAAGUGGACGACUAUGAUCUGAAGUAGAAGCAGCACAGGUGGAGAAGGACCUGCUGCAAGGCCUCUGCCUCGGGCCCUAGGCGGGACCAGGCAGCCACCUUCCCCUCCCGUACGUCUCCCGAGUCCGCCACGGCCUGCGAUAAAUUUUGGCCGAAAUGUCAUCACCAACAUUUAAUUUUGAUCCGAAAAGAAAAU
Scylla paramamosain (green mud crab) is the source of this 1567-nucleotide long non-coding RNA. RefSeq lists it as uncharacterized. The record is from RefSeq and is a predicted model, not a curated record. The transcript has 2 exons. NCBI's taxonomy places the organism in Eukaryota, Metazoa, Arthropoda, Malacostraca, Decapoda, Portunidae.